Molecule: small RNA, 308 nt
Filed under: Callithrix jacchus (white-tufted-ear marmoset)
Lineage: Eukaryota; Metazoa; Chordata; Mammalia; Primates; Cebidae
Description: Metazoan signal recognition particle RNA (ENSCJAG00000059435.2)
Source: RNAcentral
GCUGGGCGUGGCAGUGUGCGCCUGUAAUCCCACCUACUUGGGAGGCUGAGGCAGGAGAAUCGCUUGAACCUGGGAGGCAGAGGUUGCAGUGAGCCAAGAUCACACCACCGCCCUCCAGCUAGGGCAACAAGAGUGAAACUCUGUCUCAAAACAAAAACACUAAAUUGGCAUUAGGUGAGGGAAUAAAUGUUCUUUUUUUUUUUUUUUGAGAUGGAGUCUUGCUCUGCUGCCCAGGCUGGAAUGCAGUGGUGUGAUAUCUUGGCCCACUGCAACCUCUGCUUCCCAGGUUCAAGUGAUUCUCCUGCCAC